This 468-nucleotide ribosomal RNA is filed under the name uncultured bacterium. Its description in RNAcentral is "partial 16S ribosomal RNA". It matches the Rfam family "Bacterial small subunit ribosomal RNA", at positions 28 to 507 of the family's 1533-position model. The record is from RNAcentral.
GACGAACGCUGGCGGCGUGCUUAACACAUGCAAGUCGAACGGAAAGGCCCUGCUUUUGUGGGGUGCUCGAGUGGCGAACGGGUGAGUAACACGUGAGUAACCUGCCCUUGACUUUGGGAUAACUGCAGGAAACUGGGGCUAAUACCGGAUAGGAGCUCCUGCUGCAUGGUGGGGGUUGGAAAGUUUCGGCGGUUGGGGAUGGACUCGCGGCUUAUCAGCUUGUCGGUGGGGUAGUGGCUUACCAAGGCUUUGACGGGUAGCCGGCCUGAGAGGGUGACCGGCCACAUUGGGACUGAGAUACGGGCCGGACUCCUUCGGGAGGCAGCAGUGGGGAAUAGUGCACGAUGGGCGGAAGCCUGAUGCAGCAACGCCGCGUGCGGGAUGACGGCCUUCGGGUUGUAAACCGCUUUCGCCUGUGACGAAGCGUGAGUGACGGUAAUGGGUAAAGAAGCACCGGCUAACUACGUG